This 257-nucleotide long non-coding RNA is filed under the name Phoenix dactylifera (date palm). RNAcentral describes it as "long non-coding RNA (PDAC_LNC020674)". The record is from RNAcentral. Lineage: Eukaryota; Viridiplantae; Streptophyta; Magnoliopsida; Arecales; Arecaceae.
GCGCCCCUCGCGACUUCCGCCAACUAGCCGUUUCAUCUGGGAUCAACAAGGAGGUUCUCACCGGCGGAACUCCGCUCUAGGCGUUUCAUCCGGGAUCACAUCCCCCCUCCUUUCAGCCCCGCCUCCCGAUUGAGCUCUGCGCCAGACGCUUCAUUCGGGAUCGCGCAUCCUCGCGCUCUUCUCCCUUGUAUUCCUUCCCUCCCCUUCUCCUGGGGAGGACCGGAAGAUCCCUUGGAGGUGGCGUUCCUCUGGAGGUA